RNAcentral lists this ribosomal RNA (253 nucleotides) under uncultured bacterium. RNAcentral describes it as "partial 16S ribosomal RNA". It matches the Rfam family "Bacterial small subunit ribosomal RNA", at positions 524 to 776 of the family's 1533-position model. The record is from RNAcentral.
UAAGAGGGGGGCGAGCGUUGUUCGGAAUUAUUGGGCGUAAAGGGUGCGUAGGCGGCCUGACAAGUCUGAUGUGAAAUCCCUGGGCUCAACCCAGGGCCUGCAUCGGAAACUGUCGGGCUUGAGUAUGGGAGAGGUGAGUGGAAUUUCCGGUGUAGCGGUGAAAUGCGUAGAUAUCGGAAGGAACACCUGUGGCGAAAGCGGCUCACUGGACCAUUACUGACGCUGAGGCACGAAAGCUAGGGGAGCAAACAGG